CUCCUACUGGAGGCAGCAGUGAGGAAUAUUGGUCAAUGGACGCAAGUCUGAACCAGCCAUGCCGCGUGCAGGAAGACGGCUCUAUGAGUUGUAAACUGCUUUUGUACGAGGGUAAACUCACCUACGUGUAGGUGACUGAAAGUAUCGUACGAAUAAGGAUCGGCUAACUCCGUGCCAGCAGCCGCGGUAAUACGGAGGAUUCAAGCGUUAUCCGGAUUUAUUGGGUUUAAAGGGUGCGUAGGCGGUUUGAUAAGUUAGAGGUGAAAUCCCGGGGCUUAACUCCGGAACUGCCUCUAAUACUGUUAGACUAGAGAGUAGUUGCGGUAGGCGGAAUGUAUGGUGUAGCGGUGAAAUGCUUAGAGAUCAUACAGAACACCGAUUGCGAAGGCAGCUUACCAAACUAUAUCUGACGUUGAGGCACGAAAGCGUGGGGAGCAAACAGGAUUAGAUACCCUGGUAGUCCACGCAGUAAACGAUGAUAACUCGUUGUCGGCGAUACACAGUCGGUGACUAAGCGAAAGCGAUAAGUUAUCCACCUGGGGAGUACGUUCGCAAGAAUGAAACUCAAAGGAAUUGACGGGGGCCCGCACAAGCGGAGGAACAUGUGGUUUAAUUCGAUGAUACGCGAGGAACCUUACCCGGGCUUGAAAGUUACUGACGAUUCUGGAAACAGGAUUUCCCUUUGGGGCAGGAAACUAGGUGCUGCAUGGUUGUCGUCAGCUCGUGCCGUGAGGUGUCGGGUUAAGUCCCAUAACGAGCGCAACCCCUACCGUUAGUUGCCAUCAGGUCAAGCUGGGCACUCUGGCGGGACUGCCGGUGUAAGCCGAGAGGAAGGUGGGGAUGACGUCAAAUCAGCACGGCCCUUACGUCCGGGGCUACACACGUGUUACAAUGGUAGGUACAGAGGGUCGCUACUCCGUGAGGAGAUGCCAAUCUCGAAAGCCUAUCUCAGUUCGGAUUGGAGGCUGAAACCCGCCUCCAUGAAGUUGGAUUCGCUAGUAAUCGCGCAUCAGCCAUGGCGCGGUGAAUACGUUCCCGGGCCUUGUACACACCGC
RNAcentral lists this ribosomal RNA (1055 nucleotides) under uncultured bacterium. Its description in RNAcentral is "bacterial SSU rRNA". It matches the Rfam family "Bacterial small subunit ribosomal RNA", at positions 336 to 1393 of the family's 1533-position model. The record is from RNAcentral.